Molecule: long non-coding RNA, 271 nt
Filed under: Solanum tuberosum (potato)
Lineage: Eukaryota; Viridiplantae; Streptophyta; Magnoliopsida; Solanales; Solanaceae
Description: long non-coding RNA (STUB_LNC007365)
Source: RNAcentral
GACAGAGUGUACUGAAAAUCCUCAACGUGGUGAGCAACAACAAAUAUUAGGUACCUAACAAAUUUGGAAGAAGAGGCUCUGAACUAGAGAGUGGAGGCAUCAUGUUAAGCUGGUGCGUGCUAAAUUGAGAAGCACAACUCUGCAAGUUUUAAAUAUCAAUGAACAAGAAUGAUCCUUGAACAACAUUUGAAGUAGAUGAUUGGAGUGGCAGAGAAACAGAAAAAAAAUAAAAAUUUAAGCUAACCAAAUAUGAGAAAAUUUGAAAAUAUUU